This 479-nucleotide long non-coding RNA is filed under the name Rattus norvegicus (Norway rat). RNAcentral describes it as "long non-coding RNA NONRATT001191". The record is from RNAcentral. Lineage: Eukaryota; Metazoa; Chordata; Mammalia; Rodentia; Muridae.
AAAAAAUAAAUAAAUACAUGCCAGGGGCUUGUAUCUAGUGAAAAGAGCGCAAAAUAAAACAAAAACAAAAGCAAAACCUACAGGCCUUGCUUCUGGCGGGAGGGGCCCCUUGGGAGCUGGAGACCUGAGCUCAGUUCAGGUCUUCCUCCUCAUCAUCAUCAUCCAAGCCGCCAUCUUUCCCCAAGCUCUUCAUGACCUCACUCUCCACCAUGGAGCUGUCUACCACCACAAUCUGCUCUGGGAUUCGGACAUCCACAGAGAGGAGGCCCAAGGAGAAGAGGGCCAGGGCUGUCACACAGUGUCCUCCAGGGCUGUCCAAAGAAAACGCCACCAGGUCACUUGAAGGGUCAUUGCUAUCCAUGUCCUUGAAAGAAAAAUGAUCAGGCUGGUCUAGUAUGCCGUUGGCCCGUAGUCUGUCAUAGAACUGGAAGGAUUCGGUGCAGACGGUGGUGGGAAAUCGCCAGGUGAAAAGCCUGCAG